Capsicum annuum is the source of this 3403-nucleotide RNA transcript. It is a transcript of the gene named beta-galactosidase 9, with no coding region annotated. Lineage: Eukaryota; Viridiplantae; Streptophyta; Magnoliopsida; Solanales; Solanaceae. The transcript has 21 exons. The record is from RefSeq and is a predicted model, not a curated record.
UUGAGACGGAACUUCCAAAACUGAAAGAGAUAAAUGGCAGCUAACAAAGCUCUCAGUCUUCCGUUAAUUCUAACGGCGUUAACUCUACACUUGACGAUCAUCGCCGGCGAGUAUUUCACGCCGUUCAAUGUCACUUACGAUCACCGUGCACUUAUCAUCGGCGGUAAACGCCGUAUUCUUAUCUCCGCCGGAAUUCACUAUCCUCGCGCCACUCCUGAGAUGUGGCCUAAAUUAAUAGCUAGGAGCAAAGAAGGCGGUGCAGAUGUCAUUGAGACUUAUACAUUUUGGAAUGGUCAUGAGCCAACGAGAGGACAGUAUAACUUUGAAGGAAGAUAUGAUAUUGUCAAGUUCGCAAAGCUAGUUGGAUCUCAUGGAUUGUAUCUCUUUAUUCGAAUAGGCCCUUAUGCUUGUGCAGAAUGGAACUUCGGGGGCUUCCCCGUAUGGCUUCGUGAUAUACCUGGAAUAGAAUUUCGAACGGAUAAUGUUCCAUUCAAGGAGGAGAUGGAGCGCUAUGUUAAAAAGAUAGUUGAUCUUAUGAUAGCUGAGUCACUCUUCUCGUGGCAAGGUGGUCCUAUCAUUUUGUUGCAGAUUGAAAAUGAAUAUGGAAAUAUUGAAAGCUCAUUUGGUCCCAAGGGGAAGAUAUAUAUGAAAUGGGCUGCUGAAAUGGCUGUAGGUCUUGGUGCUGGUGUUCCAUGGGUCAUGUGCAGGCAAACUGAUGCUCCAGAAUACAUCAUAGAUACUUGCAAUGCAUACUAUUGUGAUGCCUACACGCCAAAUUCUGGGAAGAAACCAAAAAUCUGGACCGAGAAUUGGGAUGGAUGGUAUGCGGAUUGGGGUGAAAGACUCCCACAUAGACCUUCUGAAGAUAUUGCAUUUGCAAUUGCUCGUUUCUUUCAGCGUGGAGGCAGCUUACAGAACUAUUAUAUGUAUUUUGGUGGGACAAAUUUUGGCCGGACUGCUGGAGGCCCAGCUCAAAUCACUAGCUAUGAUUAUGAUGCUCCGCUUGAUGAAUAUGGACUACUACGUCAACCUAAAUGGGGCCAUUUGAAGGAUCUGCAUGCUGCUAUAAAGCUUUGUGAACCUGCUCUGGUUGCUGCUGAUUCACCUCAGUAUAUUAAACUGGGACCAAAACAAGAGGCACAUGUCUAUCGUGGAGCAUCCAGCAACAAUGGCCAAGAUAUGUCCUUGAAUGAAGGCAUAUGCGCAGCAUUUAUUGCAAACAUUGAUGAACAUGAAUCAGCAACAGUGAAAUUUUACGGUCAAGAGUAUACUCUACCUCCAUGGUCUGUGAGUAUUCUGCCAGAUUGCAGAAACACCGCUUUCAACACAGCUAAGGUGGCCACACAAACUUCAAUCAAAACAGUGGGCUCUGAUUCUGUUUCAGUUGGGAAUAAUUCUUUGAUUCCACAAUUAAUCAUUAAAAGCAAGCUCGAAAGUAUUUCACAAUCUUGGAUGAGAUUGAAGGAGCCACUUGGUGUGUGGGGUGACAAUAAUUUCACUUCUAAAGGGAUACUGGAGCAUCUGAAUGUGACAAAAGACCAGUCUGAUUACCUGUGGUAUCUGACCAGGAUAUAUAUAUCUGAUGAUGACAUCUCAUUUUGGAAGGAAAAUGAUGUUAGUCCAACGAUUGAUAUUGAUAGCAUGCGUGAUUUUGUUCGCAUUUUUGUUAAUGGGCAGCUUGCAGGUAGUGUGAAAGGCAAAUGGAUCAAGGUGGUUCAACCUGUUAAGCUGGUUCAGGGAUACAACGACAUACUUCUGUUAUCUGAGACGGUGGGAUUGCAGAAUUAUGGAGCCUUCUUAGAGAAGGAUGGGGCAGGCUUUAAAGGUCAGAUGAAGCUUACAGGAUGCAAAAAUGGGGAUAUUAAUCUCACAACUUCCUUAUGGACCUACCAGGUGGGGCUUAAAGGCGAAUUCCUGAAAGUAUACGAUGUCAAUAGUACUGAAAGUGCAGGAUGGACUGAGUUGUCCAAUGAUGCAAUUCCGACAGUCUUUUCGUGGUACAAGACAACAUUUGAUGCCCCAGGCGGGACAGAUCCCGUUGCCCUGGAUUUUAGUAGCAUGGGAAAAGGUCAGGCAUGGGUUAAUGGUCACCAUAUAGGAAGAUAUUGGACUUUGGUUGCUCCAGAUAAUGGAUGUGGAAGAACUUGUGAUUAUCGUGGUACUUACAACUCUGAUAAAUGUAGGACAAAUUGUGGAGAGAUUACUCAGGCGUGGUACCACAUACCUAGAUCAUGGCUAAAUACAUCUAAUAAUGUACUAGUGAUCUUUGAAGAAACAGAUAGGACUCCAUUUGAGAUUUCCAUUUCUACACGUUCUACUGAAACCAUAUGUGCCCAAGUAUCGGAAAAGCACUAUCCGCCUCUACAUACGUGGUCUCACUCAGAGUUCGACGGGAAAAUUUCUCUGACGGAUAAAACGCCAGAAAUGCACUUGCAAUGUGACAAAGGGCAUACAAUCUCAUCUAUCGAAUUUGCAAGCUAUGGAACUCCAAAUGGCAGCUGUCGAACAUUUUCUCAAGGCAAAUGUCAUGCUGCAAAUUCCUUGUCUGUUGUGUCUCAGGCUUGUGAGGGAAGAAACAGUUGCAGCAUUGGCAUUUCCAAUGCCGUAUUUGGAGAUCCAUGUCGACACAUUGUGAAGAGUUUGGCUGUUCAGGCAAAAUGCUUGCCACCACCGGAUGUCAGCACUUUAGCUUCCUCAUGACAACGAUCUGGUGUCACAAAUCUUUGCUUCCUCCUGCGCCUGACUCUGGAUGUCGAAAAAUAUAAGCUAUCAAAACAUAUUGAAGCUAUGGGAGGAGUCGGAGACUCGUGCUCGCGAACACCUACGGUAACAAAUUGUUGUCGUUUAGGAUUAUAGAUGAAAAGUUGAUGACAUGACACUCCUUGAAAGACAACUUCACCAUCUUUGGUGCAACAUAAAAGCUUCAUGUCUUGUACUCCUUGACAAAUAGUAGGUGUAAACAUUGCAAAUCCACCGAUAUGAGUUCUGUUGCAAUGGUGAGACUGCUCCACCCUUAACUAGAAGUCUCGGAAUCGAGCCGUGGGUAUGGAGAAAAACGUCACCUCUAAAAUGGGGUCUACAAUGUGGGAUCCGAAUUAGUCGGAGCUCCAAUACGGAUACCGAACACCGGAUGCGAAACCCAAAAGAAACAUGGCAAUCCAAUAAACUUUGUUAUUUAGAUUUUGCUUCUACAUUCUCUAAUUUUCUCUUUUUCAUGGUCCUCCUAUUUGGAUGUGGAAUCACGAUUUCCACUUUAUAGGAUCUGAAUUUUAGAACAACUCCUCUGAAUGGUAAUAACCGGGUCUUAGAUUUGAUAUUUUUACAUAUCUAAUGAAUUUCUACACAAAACUAUAUUGUUUUAGCAAAAACUAUUGAAUUCUGCCGAACAUGUAUUAGGCUUCUA